This is a long non-coding RNA of Zea mays, 800 nucleotides long. RefSeq lists it as uncharacterized. The record is from RefSeq and is a predicted model, not a curated record. The transcript has 3 exons. NCBI's taxonomy places the organism in Eukaryota, Viridiplantae, Streptophyta, Magnoliopsida, Poales, Poaceae.
CUACGAGUGAAACAUGAGUCAGCUGCGUGCAGUGCUGCAAUCCAGAGAAGCGAAGCAACCCCGAAAUCUUCAACGCUAUUGCCACUGCGCCAUGCCUGUCCCGCACCUCCUCUCGAGUCUCGCCACUUCCCCUAACCUAGUCACCGCCGCUCCACCGGAAUGGAGCAACGUGGCGGUGCCCGACACAACUUCGUGCCGCACUACGACUCCCGCCUCCGCUUCACCAGGGACUCACCGCCCGUGAUGAUAUGGCGUGAGGCGAUUUGUGGGGAAGUUGGGCUCGAAGAGAGCGUGAGUGGUUGGUGAUGAACCAAAAAAGGUAACCAACUAACCAUGCAUGAAUCACCCUUGCUAAACCAGAGGAGCUGAUCUCAUCGCGGACGGAAUUACCUGAGAGGAUAAAAGGCUAAAACUGGCGCAUAUGGAUUUCUCAACGAAACACAACUGGCUGACCUCAGUUUUAGGAGGUGCAAAAUUGGCCGUCCAAUGUAGAGACCCAGGUGAAGACAUGUAUUGGGAAUCCAGUAAAAUGACACAGCAGAACUCACAUUUUCACAAGAGAUUUUUCAAGAGAUUUUCAUUUUCUUCGGUUUGGGAAUCCCAUUUUCCUAAAAGAUUUCCAUUUUUCGAAGAAAAAUUAGUUCAUUUUUCAUUGGGAAAAUAGAAAUCCCUUAAAAAAUGGACUUUCCAAACUAGUUCUAAAUGUGAGUUAUGUUGUGUCAUUUGUCCCUCACCUUGGAGAUCCAAGGCCUGCACACCCCAUACUAGAUAGAAACAGAGAAUUGAAUUGUAUUACUUAG